GAGAGAGCUUGCUCUCUUGGCGGCGAGUGGCGGACGGGUGAGUAAUAUAUCGGAACGUGCCCAGUAGCGGGGGAUAACUACUCGAAAGAGUGGCUAAUACCGCAUACGCCCUACGGGGGAAAGGGGGGGAUCGCAAGACCUCUCACUAUUGGAGCGGCCGAUAUCGGAUUAGCUAGUUGGUGGGGUAAAGGCUCACCAAGGCAACGAUCCGUAGCUGGUUUGAGAGGACGACCAGCCACACUGGGACUGAGACACGGCCCAGACUCCUACGGGAGGCAGCAGUGGGGAAUUUUGGACAAUGGGGGAAACCCUGAUCCAGCCAUCCCGCGUGUAUGAUGAAGGCCUUCGGGUUGUAAAGUACUUUUGGCAGAGAAGAAAAGGUAUCCCCUAAUACGGGAUACUGCUGACGGUAUCUGCAGAAUAAGCACCGGCUAACUACGUGCCAGCAGCCGCGGUAAUACGUAGGGUGCAAGCGUUAAUCGGAAUUACUGGGCGUAAAGCGUGUGUAGGCGGUUCGGAAAGAAAGAUGUGAAAUCCCAGGGCUCAACCUUGGAACUGCAUUUUUAACUGCCGAGCUAGAGUAUGUCAGAGGGGGGUAGAAUUCCACGUGUAGCAGUGAAAUGCGUAGAUAUGUGGAGGAAUACCGAUGGCGAAGGCAGCCCCCUGGGAUAAUACUGACGCUCAGACACGAAAAGCGUGGGGGAGCAAACAGGAUUAGAUACCCUGGUAGUCCACGCCCUAAACGAUGUCAACUAGCUGUUGGGGCCGUUAGGCCUUAGUAGCGCAGCUAACGCGUGAAGUUGACCGCCUGGGGAGUACGG
RNAcentral lists this ribosomal RNA (821 nucleotides) under Alcaligenes sp. enrichment culture clone As1. RNAcentral's name for it is "bacterial SSU rRNA". It matches the Rfam family "Bacterial small subunit ribosomal RNA", at positions 72 to 885 of the family's 1533-position model. The record is from RNAcentral. Lineage: Bacteria; Pseudomonadati; Pseudomonadota; Betaproteobacteria; Burkholderiales; Alcaligenaceae.